This 264-nucleotide ribosomal RNA is filed under the name uncultured archaeon. Its description in RNAcentral is "partial 16S ribosomal RNA". It matches the Rfam family "Archaeal small subunit ribosomal RNA", at positions 717 to 982 of the family's 1478-position model. The record is from RNAcentral.
AGUCACUGACAUUAGAUACCCGUGUAGUCCAGGGUGUAAACGCUGCAGACUUGGUGUUGGAGGCCCUUUGGGGGCAUUCAGUGCCGGAGAGAAGUUGUUAAGUCUGCUACUUGGGGAGUACGUCCGCAAGGAUGAAACUUAAAGGAAUUGGCGGGGGAGCACCGCAACGGGAGGAGCGUGCGGUUUAAUUGGGUUCAACACCGUAAACUCACCAGGGAAGACUGUUACAUGAAGGCCGAGAUGAAGACUCUGCUAGAUUUUCAG